CUAGCCGUAAACGAUGGGUACUAGGUGUAGGAGGUAUCGACCCCUUCUGUGCCGGAGUUAACGCAAUAAGUACCCCGCCUGGGGAGUACGGCCGCAAGGUUGAAACUCAAAGGAAUUGACGGGGGCCCGCACAAGCGGUGGAGUAUGUGGUUUAAUUCGACGCAACGCGAAGAACCUUACCAGGACUUGACAUCGUCUGAAGACCCUAGAGAUAGGGAGUUCCCUUCGGGGACAGAUAGACAGGUGG
This 247-nucleotide ribosomal RNA is filed under the name uncultured Veillonellaceae bacterium. Its description in RNAcentral is "partial 16S ribosomal RNA". It matches the Rfam family "Bacterial small subunit ribosomal RNA", at positions 796 to 1041 of the family's 1533-position model. Lineage: Bacteria; Bacillati; Bacillota; Negativicutes; Veillonellales; Veillonellaceae. The record is from RNAcentral.